GACGAACGCUGGCGGCGUGCUUAAUACAUGCAAGUCGAACGGAAAGGCGCGGCUUUUGCGGCGCGCUCGAGUGGCGAACGGGUGAGUAACACGCGAGUAACCUGCCCCUGACAGUGGGAUAACUCUAGGAAACAGGGGCUAAUACCGGAUAGAAGCUCUUGCUGCACGGUGGGGGAUGGAAAGAGUCGGCGGUGGGGGAUGGUCUCGCGGGUUAUCGGCCUGUUGGGGGGGUAGUGGCGUACGAGGCCUUCGACGGGUAGCCGGCCUGGGAGGGUGGCCGGCGUCCUGGGGCCUGCGAUAGGGCCCAGACUCCUACCGGCCGCAGCAGUGGGGAGUCUUGCGCAGUGGGCGCACGCCUGAUACAGCAGCGCCGCGUGCGGGAUGCCGGCCUUCGGGGUGUGAACCACUUUCGCCUGUGCCGAGCAGUGAUUGACGGUAAUGGGUCAGGAAGCCCCGGCUAACUACGUG
Molecule: ribosomal RNA, 468 nt
Filed under: uncultured bacterium
Lineage: Bacteria
Description: partial 16S ribosomal RNA
Rfam family: Bacterial small subunit ribosomal RNA
Source: RNAcentral